GAUGAACGCUAGCGGCAGGCCUAACACAUGCAAGUCGAGGGAGAAGCCUUUCGGGGCAGAAACCGGCGCACGGGUGCGUAACGCGUAUGCAACCUACCUUUCACAGGGGGAUAGCCCGAAGAAAUUUGGAUUAAUACCCCAUAAUAUUGUUGGAUGGCAUCAUCUGAUAAUUAAAACUGCGGUGGUGAAAGAUGGGCAUGCGUCCUAUUAGCUAGUUGGAGUGGUAACGGCACCCCAAGGCUACGAUAGGUAGGGGUCCUGAGAGGGAGAUCCCCCACACUGGUACUGAGACAGGGACCAGACUGCUACGGGAGGCAGCAGUGAGGAAUAUUGGUCAAUGGUCGGAAGACUGAACCAGCCAUGCCGCGUGCAGGAAGAAUGCCUUAUGGGUUGUAAACUGCUUUUAUAUGGGAAGAAUAAGGUGUACGUGUACAUUGAUGACGGUACCAUAUGAAUAAGCAUCGGCUAACUCCGUG
RNAcentral lists this ribosomal RNA (476 nucleotides) under uncultured bacterium. RNAcentral's name for it is "partial 16S ribosomal RNA". It matches the Rfam family "Bacterial small subunit ribosomal RNA", at positions 28 to 507 of the family's 1533-position model. The record is from RNAcentral.